Molecule: antisense RNA, 508 nt
Filed under: Streptomonospora alba
Lineage: Bacteria; Bacillati; Actinomycetota; Actinomycetes; Streptosporangiales; Nocardiopsidaceae
Description: Saccharopolyspora sRNA 350
Rfam family: Saccharopolyspora sRNA 350
Source: Rfam by way of RNAcentral
UUGGCGGUGGCGUCCCAGGCGCCGUCGUCCUCGAUCAGCGCGGCCGAGCCGAAGUGGUCGCCGUCGAUCAUGGUUCCCAGGACGGUCUGGUUGCCGUACUCGCCGGUGCCCAGUCGGUUCACUUUUCCGUGGGCGAUGAGGCAGACCCGGUCGGCCGCGUCGCCGCGUUCGACGAUGACGUCGCCGGGCGCGUACUCCUCUUGGGUGAAGCGCUCGGCCAGUGCCCCGAGCGCCGCCUCGUCGCCGAAGUCGCGCAGCAGCGACAGUUCGCAGAGUUCACGCGGGAUCACCCGGACGUCGGCUCCGGUGGUGACGAAGCUGACCCGGCCGUCGCCGACGGUGUAGGUCAGUCGCCGGUUCACCCGGUAGGAGCCGCCUGUCGCCUCGAUCCAGGGGAGUAGGCGCAGCAGCCAGCGGGAGGUGAUCCCCUGCAUCUGCGGAGGCGUCUUGGUCGUCGUCGCCAGUUUUCUCGCGGCCUCGGUUCCCAGGCUCAGCCGCUGCUGCUCGU